UGCUUGCUGCUUACAACUCCCCC
Molecule: non-coding RNA, 23 nt
Filed under: Rattus norvegicus (Norway rat)
Lineage: Eukaryota; Metazoa; Chordata; Mammalia; Rodentia; Muridae
Source: RNAcentral